UACAGAGGGUGCGAGCGUUGUUCGGAAUUAUUGGGCGUAAAGGGCGCGUAGGCGGUGCGGUAAGUCACCUGUGAAAUCUCCUGGCUCAACUGGGAGCUUGCAGGCGAAACUGCCGUGCUGGAGUGUGGGAGAGGUGGGUGGAAUUCCCGGUGUAGCGGUGAAAUGCGUAGAUAUCGAGAGGGACACCUGCGGCGAAGGCGGGUUGCUGGGCUGACACUGACGCUGAUGUGCGAAAGCUAGGGGAGCGAACGGG
Molecule: ribosomal RNA, 253 nt
Filed under: uncultured bacterium
Lineage: Bacteria
Description: partial 16S ribosomal RNA
Rfam family: Bacterial small subunit ribosomal RNA
Source: RNAcentral